ACCCGCCAGAGAUCCAUCCAAAGGAGGCCACUGAGCUUCUUGAGAGAUCCAUCCAUCCUCAGAUUGUGGCCUCAUGAUGCAUCUUGAAAAAAAUAAAGCUAUGCUUAUCUGA
This is a non-coding RNA of Plectropomus leopardus (leopard coralgrouper), 112 nucleotides long. NCBI's taxonomy places the organism in Eukaryota, Metazoa, Chordata, Actinopteri, Perciformes, Serranidae. The record is from RefSeq and is a predicted model, not a curated record.